Molecule: ribosomal RNA, 253 nt
Filed under: uncultured bacterium
Lineage: Bacteria
Description: partial 16S ribosomal RNA
Rfam family: Bacterial small subunit ribosomal RNA
Source: RNAcentral
UACGUAGGUGGCAAGCGUUGUCCGGAUUUAUUGGGUUUAAAGGGUGCGUAGGCGGUCUAUUAAGUCAGUGGUGAAAUACUCCAGCUUAACUGGAGGGGUGCCAUUGAUACUGAUGGACUUGAGUGAAGUCGAGGUAGGCGGAAUUGACGGUGUAGCGGUGAAAUGCUUAGAUAUCGUCAAGAACACCAAUAGUGAAGACAGCUUACUAGGCUUAUACUGACGCUGAGGCACGAAGGCCAGGGGAGCAAACGGG